UGGGGAAUAUUGCACAAUGGGCGAAAGCCUGCUGCAGCGACGCCGCGUGAGUGAAGAAGUAUUUCGGUAUGUAAAGCUCUAUCAGCAGGGAAGAAAAUGACGGUACCUGACUAAGAAGCCCCGGCUAACUACGUGCCAGCAGCCGCGGUAAUACGUAGGGGGCAAGCGUUAUCCGGAUUUACUGGGUGUAAAGGGAGCGUAGACGGCGAAGCAAGUCUGAAGUGAAAACCCAGGGCUCAACCCUGGGACUGCUUUGGAAACUGUUUUGCUAGAGUGUCGGAGAGGUAAGUGGAAUUCCUAGUGUAGCGGUGAAAUGCGUAGAUAUUAGGAGGAACACCAGUGGCGAAGGCGGCUUACUGGACGAUAACUGACGUUGAGGCUCGAAAGCGUGGGGAGCAAACAGG
RNAcentral lists this ribosomal RNA (404 nucleotides) under Fusobacteriota bacterium. RNAcentral describes it as "Fusobacteria bacterium partial 16S ribosomal RNA". It matches the Rfam family "Bacterial small subunit ribosomal RNA", at positions 355 to 776 of the family's 1533-position model. The record is from RNAcentral. Lineage: Bacteria; Fusobacteriati; Fusobacteriota.